Non-coding RNA from Peromyscus maniculatus bairdii (prairie deer mouse), 1422 nucleotides. Lineage: Eukaryota; Metazoa; Chordata; Mammalia; Rodentia; Cricetidae. The record is from RefSeq and is a predicted model, not a curated record.
GUGUGCUGUGGCUCAUGUGUGGGAGUCAGUCGCUGGCCCCUGCCCCUGACGUGUGUCCAGGACCAAACUCAAGUUGUGAGCCGUGCACCAUGGAGGACCGGGUGCCCUCACCUGCCAGGCCAUCACUGAGCCCAGGACCCAUCCCAGCAUCCUCAGCACCUACUAACACAACAAUAAAACUCUGAUAUCCUGGGUUUGUUCUUUAAAAAAGAAAAAAGACAAAACAACAGGAGCCUGAGUAGAGCUCCUAGCUAAUCUGUUAACAGAUUUUGUUUCUCAUUCGGAACUGGGGGUGUAUGUUUUUAGCAGAACAAUUUUUACUAUAACUGUUUGUUAUUUUGUUAAUCAUUUCCUGGUUUUAUAUUUUAGUUUACUUUUCAUGUUUUGUCAUCUUUCUCCCAUUGUCUCUUUUGCUUAUUCAUAUCUUGUAACACAUUUUUCAGUAGUAACAGGGAAUUAACCUAAACCAAACAAUGGCUUUUUUUCUAUAUUUAGCCCUGAAUAAUAACAGUCAUGGUAUCAGUCCUCUUCUAGGAGGGAAAGGGUGUCGCCCCUACUGUCUACCCAUAAAGGCUAGGAAUAUUCAAAUGAACUUUAAACGAUCACAUAAUGGAAAAGACAUUUCAUAAGUGUUAAGAACUUUAAACAUACACCACCUUGAAAUAUAGCUGUAAAAUGCACACAGCACCCUGGAGGGGGGCGUUCGCUCAGUGGUCGGGAGUUUCCUCCCGAGUCACAGGAAGUCCCAUAGGCAGCCUCCAGGGAAGCGGCUGUGGAGGACAAGGACUCUGGACUGCUCCUUCUGUGAGCGCUUCUUGUCUCGUUUCAUACGGUGGCUGCUGUGUUCUCAGGCAUUGAUUCUGCAUUCUAAGCACAAGAGAAGGAAGCCACAUGCCAGCUGAAUUAAUCUUGAAGUUGAAAAACAGUAGCAUUUCAGGAAACCCCACCCAACACCCUCCCUUUCAGGGGCCCUUUAGGCCUCAGCUAGGACACAUGGCCACUUGUGGCUGAGAGAGAGGUUUGUUUGCUUGUUUAUUUUUAGCCUGAGUGCCUUGCCAUCCUGCACCAAAUUAAAGUCAUCACGAAGAGAGAAAGUCCAGACUGUAUGAGAAUCUGAUCCUGUGAUGGCAGUAUACCCAGCAAGAAGAUAGCACCUCCCAGGGUUCCUUGCAACUGAGGCUGGUCAUGUGUCCCACAAAGGAUGCCCAGGAGAUGUCUACAGAGAUUAUUCAUAAGGCUUCCCCCUGCCCUUUCCUGUCCCAGGAGGGUAGACAUGGCAGCUGAACUCUGGCAGUCACUCCCGAGACCAGCGGUGAUGAAGACUUCUAUAUUAUAAAAAGUUUGUUCAAGCCGGGCGGUGGUGGUGCACGCCUUUAAUCCCAGCACUCAGGAGGCAGAAGCAGGCGGAUUCCUGUGAGUUCA